Molecule: long non-coding RNA, 580 nt
Filed under: Homo sapiens (human)
Lineage: Eukaryota; Metazoa; Chordata; Mammalia; Primates; Hominidae
Description: non-protein coding lnc-PRSS12-5:1
Source: RNAcentral
ACAUGUGCCCAUUUAUGCAGUUCAUCGAAGGAGGAAGGAGAUAUCAGUGUGGAUUUUGCAACUGUGUGAAUGAUGUUCCACCAUUCUAUUUCCAACAUCUGGACCACAUUGGAAGAAGACUGGACCACUAUGAGAAACCAGAGUUAUCUCUAGGAUCUUAUGAAUAUGUUGCCACUUUGGAUUAUUGCAGAGUAAGUGUUCCCAGAACUUCAAGUGUUUAUACAUUGAUGUUAAAUUCAAGUGAAUAACUUUCAUAUGUAAAGAACUGACUCUUGAUUCACAAACAAAGCAUUUUGGUGGUACCAUGGAGUGGUAGAAAUGCCUAAGACACAGAUCCCAUCUCCUAGGUUGUUAACAUGAUUCAACUGCCAAACCAUCUACUGGAGGAAUUAUUUUUAAAAACUGAAAUGUGGUGUCAGAAAUAGAAAACAAUAAUUUUUUAUGUCCUUGCCAGACAGAAUAUACCUGGUUCUUAAUGCAGUAGUUCCGUACAGUGCCUCUGCCUCCCUUAUUUUGUAAAGAGUCUCAGAAAAACUUCCCUUCCAAGAGAAAAGCUCAACCAAAAUGGUUAGUAGGACUA